RNAcentral lists this ribosomal RNA (137 nucleotides) under Salmonella enterica. RNAcentral describes it as "partial 16S ribosomal RNA". It matches the Rfam family "Bacterial small subunit ribosomal RNA", at positions 1 to 130 of the family's 1533-position model. Lineage: Bacteria; Pseudomonadati; Pseudomonadota; Gammaproteobacteria; Enterobacterales; Enterobacteriaceae. The record is from RNAcentral.
AAAUUGAAGAGUUUGAUCAUGGCUCAGAUUGAACGCUGGCGGCAGGCCUAACACAUGCAAGUCGAACGGUAACAGGAAGCAGCUUGCUGCUUUGCUGACGAGUGGCGGACGGGUGAGUAAUGUCUGGGAAACGAAAC